This 710-nucleotide ribosomal RNA is filed under the name Escherichia coli. RNAcentral describes it as "bacterial LSU rRNA". It matches the Rfam family "Bacterial large subunit ribosomal RNA", at positions 2238 to 2925 of the family's 2925-position model. Lineage: Bacteria; Pseudomonadati; Pseudomonadota; Gammaproteobacteria; Enterobacterales; Enterobacteriaceae. The record is from RNAcentral.
AUCCGGGUUGCGGACAGUGUCUGGUGGGUAGUUUGACUGGGGCGGUCUCCUCCUAAAGAGUAACGGAGGAGCACGAAGGUUGGCUAAUCCUGGUCGGACAUCAGGAGGUUAGUGCAAUGGCAUAAGCCAGCUUGACUGCGAGCGUGACGGCGCGAGCAGGUGCGAAAGCAGGUCAUAGUGAUCCGGUGGUUCUGAAUGGAAGGGCCAUCGCUCAACGGAUAAAAGGUACUCCGGGGAUAACAGGCUGAUACCGCCCAAGAGUUCAUAUCGACGGCGGUGUUUGGCACCUCGAUGUCGGCUCAUCACAUCCUGGGGCUGAAGUAGGUCCCAAGGGUAUGGCUGUUCGCCAUUUAAAGUGGUACGCGAGCUGGGUUUAGAACGUCGUGAGACAGUUCGGUCCCUAUCUGCCGUGGGCGCUGGAGAACUGAGGGGGGCUGCUCCUAGUACGAGAGGACCGGAGUGGACGCAUCACUGGUGUUCGGGUUGUCAUGCCAAUGGCACUGCCCGGUAGCUAAAUGCGGAAGAGAUAAGUGCUGAAAGCAUCUAAGCACGAAACUUGCCCCGAGAUGAGUUCUCCCUGACCCUUUAAGGGUCCUGAAGGAACGUUGAAGACGACGACGUUGAUAGGCCGGGUGUGUAAGCGCAGCGAUGCGUUGAGCUAACCGGUACUAAUGAACCGUGAGGCUUAACCUUACAACGCCGAAGCUGUU